GACGAACCGUGCGAACGUUGUUCGGAAUCACUGGGCUUAAAGGGCGCGUGGGCGGCUUGCCAAGUCAGGGGUGAAAUCUUUCGGCUUAACCGGAAAACAGCUUCUGAUACUGGCGAGCUAGAGGGAGGUAGGGGUGCGUGGAACUUCUGGUGGAGCGGUGAAAUGCGUAGAUAUCAGAAGGAACGCCGGUGGCGAAAGCGACGCACUGGGCCUCUACUGACGCUGAGGCGCGAAGGCUAGGGGAGCGAACGGG
Molecule: ribosomal RNA, 253 nt
Filed under: uncultured bacterium
Lineage: Bacteria
Description: partial 16S ribosomal RNA
Rfam family: Bacterial small subunit ribosomal RNA
Source: RNAcentral